UUAGUAGCUGCGAGCGAACAGGGAUUAGCCCAGCACCGAAUCCCGCGGCCGACACCGGACGCCGGGAAAUGUGGUGUUAGGGAGGAUCCGCUAACCCGAGGUUGUGUGAUGCGUCCAAGUCCUUCUUGAAUGGGGCCACUUACCCAUAGAGGGUGCCAGGCCCGUAGCGGCCAUCACCAAUCGCGGGUGGAUCUCUCCUCAGAGUCGGGUUGCUUGAGAGUGCAGCCCUAAGCGGGUGGUAAACUCCAUCUAAGGCUAAAUAUAACCACGAGACCGAUAGCGAACAAGUACCGUGAGGGAAAGUUGAAAAGAACUUUGAAGAGAGAGUUCAAUAGUACGUGAAACCGUUCAGGGGUAAACCUGAGAAAUCCGAAAGGUCGAAUGGGGACAUUCAGCGCGUCUCGCGGACGGAGAGCUUGGUCGUGCGACGGAAUAGCAAUUACGUUAGACCGCGUCGACUUUUGCAUACUGUUCGCGAACGCGUGCACUUCUCCCCUAGUAGGACGUCGCGACCCGUUGGGUGCAGGUCUAAGGAUCGCGGUGGAGACCUCGGGGGCACGUUUCGGCGUGUCUUCGCGGACCCGUGAUUUCCCGGCCUGCUCGCUCGACGGUAUAAAGAUGGCGUUGGGUCGCGUUUUCGUUCGCGCCCGGUCAGUCGCAAGCGCUUGCGUAUUUCUCGUAGUCGGACGUGUGUGCCGACACGGGAAACGCUUGGCUGUUGGCGACUGUGCUCUCGGGCGGGCCCUUAAAACACGCCGGUCGGCGACGCUUUAGCUUUGGAUACUUUCAGGANNNNNNNNNNNNNNNNNNNNNNNNNNNNNAGCAUGUGCGCGAGCCAUUGGGAUCGCAACUAAACCUAAAGGCGUAAUGAAAGUGAAGGCCGCCUCGCGCGUGCCGAGGGAGGACCGGUCGGACUUUUGUCCGCAUCGUGCACUCCCGGGGCGUCUCGUUCUCAUCGCGAGUUGAGGCGCACCCAGAGCGUACACGCUGGGACCCGAAAGAUGGUGAACUAUGCCUGGUCAGGACGAAGUCAGGGGAAACCCUGAUGGAGGUCCGUAGCGAUUCUGACGUGCAAAUCGAUCGUCGGAACUGGGUAUAGGGGCGAAAGACUAAUCGAACCAUCUAGUAGCUGGUUCCCUCCGAAGUUUCCCUCAGGAUAGCUGGCGCUCGUUGAACGAGUCUCAUCCGGUAAAGCGAAUGAUUAGAGGCAUUGGGGUCGAAACGGCCUCAACCUAUUCUCAAACUUUAAAUGGGUUAGAACUCCGGCUUGCUUAAAUUGUGAAGCCGCGAGAUAACGCCGUGCGCUCAUACCGUACGGCGGACUGGAUCAGAG
This 1333-nucleotide ribosomal RNA is filed under the name Gnathymenus apterus. RNAcentral's name for it is "partial 28S ribosomal RNA". It matches the Rfam family "Eukaryotic large subunit ribosomal RNA", at positions 80 to 1106 of the family's 3401-position model. Lineage: Eukaryota; Metazoa; Arthropoda; Insecta; Coleoptera; Staphylinidae. The record is from RNAcentral.